Molecule: ribosomal RNA, 274 nt
Filed under: uncultured bacterium
Lineage: Bacteria
Description: partial 16S ribosomal RNA
Rfam family: Bacterial small subunit ribosomal RNA
Source: RNAcentral
AUACGGAGGGUGCAAGCGUUACUCGGAAUCACUGGGCGUAAAGCGCGCGCAGGCGGCUAUUUAAGUUGGAUGUGAAAGCCUACGGCUCAACCGUAGAACUGCAUCCAAAACUAUUUAGCUAGAGUGUGGGAGAGGAAGAUGGAAUUAGUUCUGUAGGGGUAAAAUCCGUAGAGAUAACUAGGAAUACCAAAAGCGAAGGCAAUCUUCUGGAACACUACUGACGCUGAGGCGCGAAAGCGUGGGGAGCAAACAGGAUUAGAAACCCUAGUAGUCC